AAAAUCCGGGAUCACUUACGCCGAGCACCGAGACGAGUCCUAUGAGGACGAAGUGACUGACACCACGCUUCCAGGAAAAGCCACUAAGCUUCAGCUUAAGAAAAACCGUACCGCAAACCGACACAGGUAGGCAGGGUGAGAAUCCCAAGGCGCUUGAGAGAACUCGGGUGAAGGAACUAGGCAAAAUGGCACCGUAACUUCGGGAGAAGGUGCGCCCUUUGGUGUGGUCACGUGCGUGACUGAGCAUCGAAGGGUCGCAGUAACCUGGCCGCUGCGACUGUUUAUCAAAAACACAGCACUCUGCAAACACGAAAGUGGACGUAUAGGGUGUGACGCCUGCCCGGUGCUGGAAGGUUAAUUGAUGGGGUCAGCCGCAAGGCGAAGCUCUUGAUCGAAGCCCCAGUAAACGGCGGCCGUAACGAUAACGGUCCUAAGGUAGCGAAAUUCCUUGUCGGGUAAGUUCCGACCUGCACGAAUGGCGUAACGACAGCGGCGCUGUCUCCACCCGAGACUCAGUGAAAUUGAAAUCGCUGUGAAGAUGCAGCGUUCCCGCGGCAAGACGGAAAGACCCCGUGAACCUUUACUAUAGCUUUACACUGAACGUUGAGUUCUUCUGUGUAGGAUAGGUGGGAGGCUAUGAAACCAGGACGCUAGUUCUGGUGGAGCCAUCCUUGAAAUACCACCCUGAAGUGCUUGACGUUCUAACCUAGGCCCGUAAUCCGGGUCAGGGACCGUGUAUGGUGGGUAGUUUGACUGGGGCGGUCUCCUCCCAAAGAGUAACGGCAGCACGAAGGUACGCUCAGCGCGGUCGGACAUCGCGCACUGUGCAAAGGCAUAAGCGUGCUUGACUGCGAGAUCGACGGAUCAAGCAGGUACGAAAGUAGGUCUUAGUGAUCCGGUGGUUCUGUAUGGAAGGGCCAUCGCUCAACGGAUAAAAGGUACUCCGGGGAUAACAGGCUGAUACCGCCCAAGAGUUCAUAUCGACGGCGGUGUUUGGCACCUCGAUGUCGGCUCAUCACAUCCUGGGGCUGUAGCCGGUCCCAAGGGUAUGGCUGUUCGCCAUUUAAAGUGGUACGCGAGCUGGGUUCAGAACGUCGUGAGACAGUUCGGUCCCUAUCUGUCGUGGGCGUUGGAGAUUUGAGGGGGGCUGCUCCUAGUACGAGAGGACCGGAGUGGACGUUCCGCUGGUGUUCGGGUUGUCAUGCCCAUGGCAUUGCCCGGUAGCUACGAACGGAAGUGAUAACCGCUGAAAGCAUCUAAGCGGGAAGCACGCCCCAAGAUGAGAUCUCCCGAGAGCUUGACUCUCCUAAAGGCACCAUCAAGACUAGGUGGUUGAUAGGUCAGGUGUGGAAGCGCAGCAAUGCGUUGAGCUAACUGAUACUAAUGAGCCGUGAGGCUUGAUCAA
RNAcentral lists this ribosomal RNA (1405 nucleotides) under metagenome. Its description in RNAcentral is "bacterial LSU rRNA". It matches the Rfam family "Bacterial large subunit ribosomal RNA", at positions 1537 to 2925 of the family's 2925-position model. The record is from RNAcentral.